UCUCUAAUCAGUGAAACUGAUCUCUCCGUGAAGAAGCGGGGAUACUCCUAUAAGACGAAAAGACCCCAUGGAGCUUCAAACCCAACUACACCCUUAACUACCACAACCGCACAACCUCUUAGGGCCCUGUAUAGUUGGUUUUAGGUUGGGGCGACCACGGAGUACAACCAAACCUCCGCAAUGGACGGGACCACUCCCUUAUCUAAGAGCCACACCUCUAAGAAUUAAAACACUAACAUAAAAUGAUCCAUGAUCUGAUCAAUGAACCAAGUUACCCUGGGGAUAACAGCGCAAUCCAUUUCAAGAGCCCUUAUCGACAAGUGGGUUUACGACCUCGAUGUUGGAUCAGGGUAUCCUAGUGGUGCAGCAGCUACUAAUGGUUCGUUUGUUCAACGAUUAAAACCCU
RNAcentral lists this ribosomal RNA (406 nucleotides) under Mantidactylus opiparis. Its description in RNAcentral is "partial 16S ribosomal RNA". It matches the Rfam family "Bacterial large subunit ribosomal RNA", at positions 2026 to 2597 of the family's 2925-position model. The record is from RNAcentral. Lineage: Eukaryota; Metazoa; Chordata; Amphibia; Anura; Mantellidae.